RNAcentral lists this long non-coding RNA (588 nucleotides) under Homo sapiens (human). RNAcentral's name for it is "HSALNT0365502". The record is from RNAcentral. Lineage: Eukaryota; Metazoa; Chordata; Mammalia; Primates; Hominidae.
CCUAACACAAGAGUGUGCGUGAAUAUAGGUGAUUGUGUUUCAAAAAGGAGGGAGAAGGAGGCCUGAAUGCCUCUCAGAGUGCAUUGUGUCUGGGGCUAGUAGGGUUGCCCCUUGUUCUGUGAUGUCACAAUGCCCAAACACACGCACCAAGAAGUCAUCAAAGACAGCCCAACUCACAGCCCAUGAGGGACCCUGAGUACUGCCUCUGACCUCUCUAUGGCAAGCCAAAUGGCCAUGGGAAGACCCCAUGGAGUGUCAGAAUGAUGCCGUUGAGGGCAAGGAUUUUAGACCGGUCAUGGAUUCUGCCUGUGCACUGGGCUCUACCACUUUCUAGCUAUCUGGCUACUAGCAAGUUACCUUAACAAUCUAAGUUUCAACCUCCCCAUUCGUGAAAUGGAGAUGAUGUCUUAGUCAUAGAAGUAGCAAGUCUACUGCAUAUCAACAGUGUAGCACUGAGCCUGGCUCUUUAUAAGGAAACAGGCCGAGAGACGCAAGUCAAACAGCAAAGGAUGGUCUGCUGUCUGUCUGACUCCAAUGCCAAUGGUCUUUCCUCUAUAACCUAAAGCAAUAAAACCCCUGCAACAUCUA